RNAcentral lists this ribosomal RNA (787 nucleotides) under uncultured Acaulospora. Its description in RNAcentral is "SSU rRNA". It matches the Rfam family "Eukaryotic small subunit ribosomal RNA", at positions 325 to 1111 of the family's 1831-position model. The record is from RNAcentral. Lineage: Eukaryota; Fungi; Glomeromycota; Glomeromycetes; Diversisporales; Acaulosporaceae.
AUGGUAGGAUAGAGGCCUACCAUGGUUUUAACGGGUAACGGGGAAUUAGGGUUCGAUUCCGGAGAGGGAGCCUGAGAAACGGCUACCACAUCCAAGGAAGGCAGCAGGCGCGCAAAUUACCCAAUCCCGACACGGGGAGGUAGUGACAAUAAAUAACAAUAUGGGGCUCUUACGAGUCUUGUAAUUGGAAUGAGUACAAUUUAAAUCUCUUAACGAGGAACAAUUGGAGGGCAAGUCUGGUGCCAGCAGCCGCGGUAAUUCCAGCUCCAAUAGCGUAUAUUAAAGUUGUUGCAGUUAAAAAGCUCGUAGUUGAAUUUCGGGAUUUAUCCGUCGGUCGGGCUUUUGGGUUUGUACUGGCGUGAUGGAUUCCUACCUUCUGAAUAACCGGCAUGUCAUUAAUUUGGUGCGCCGGGGAAGCAGGACUGUUACCUUGAAAAAAUUAGAGUGCUUAAAGCAGGCUUAUGCCUGAAUACAUUAGCAUGGAAUAAUGAAAUAGGACGGCAUGGUUCUAUUUUGUUGGUUUCUAGGAUCACCGUAAUGAUUAAUAGGGAUAGUUGGGGGCAUUAGUAUUCAAUUGUCAGAGGUGAAAUUCUUGGAUUUAUUGAAGACUAACUUCUGCGAAAGCAUUUGCCAAGGAUGUUUUCAUUAAUCAAGAACGAAAGUUAGGGGAUCGAAGACGAUCAGAUACCGUCGUAGUCUUAACCAUAAACCAUGCCGACUAGGGAUCGGACGAUGUUAAUUUUUUAAUGACUCGUUCGGCGCCUUACGGGAAACCAAAGUGUUUGGG